This is a long non-coding RNA of Cataglyphis hispanica, 1391 nucleotides long. RefSeq lists it as uncharacterized. NCBI's taxonomy places the organism in Eukaryota, Metazoa, Arthropoda, Insecta, Hymenoptera, Formicidae. The record is from RefSeq and is a predicted model, not a curated record. The transcript has 5 exons.
CGAUUUUCCUAGACUUCUCGUUAGAUGACGCCUGAUGUUCGAAAUAGAGGGAGGCGAAUCUGAAGAUCAGAUAUAUAUAUAGUUUUGAAUUAUCGUCUCGUCAACUUCCAUGUAAUUCCAUAGUGUCAUUAUAAUAAAAGUAUUUCUCUUCAUGCAAGUCACGGUAAAGGAUCACGUCAUUUGCUGAUUAAAAUUACUCAAACUCACGGCUAAAAUCUCAAGAUGGACGUUAAUCUACAGAUAUUCGUAUCGACGAACGUGCUUCUGUUCCGGCGCGGUCCUCCCCGCCCCGAUUGACUUAUUCGUGAAGGAAGUCUUAUAUUAUUUGUUUGACCAAUCUAUCGUUCGGAAGCGAGUGGAGAGAGAGGAAGAGAAAGGAGAGAGAUUUUUACGAGCGGAGUAUAGCGUGACGGGCUGCGAGGGUAUCGAAGGGCUCGCGCGCGUGUAAGCAACGUUAGUCGCGGGUAAAACGUAAUAUUAUGCGACGGCGGGUCGCCUUUACGUAAACAUUUACGCCUCGUGGCAACACUAAAAUAUGAAGCCGUCGGAGACGGGAUUUCGUGUGGCAGGACCCUCCGUCUAAGCCCGAAUAAUUUACGAGAUUGGCUCUUCUCGCAGCACCGACCUACCUACGUUUCACCGUUGAUGAUACGCAUUCGAUAUAUUAUAAUACAGAGUGUUUUUCAAAUAUAUAUGUAUGCGCAACGUAAUAAAAAAAUGUCAUAAUGAAGAGAAAGAUAUUUCUUCAUGCAAGUCACGGUUUAAAGGAUUCUUUCCAUGAUAUCUGCUGAAGCUGAUUAAAAUUUUGAACAAACUUGAGCCAAAAUUCCAAGAUUGAUGGUUCAUCUACAGAUAUUCGCAAAAGAUAAGGAAGAAUGUUCCGAAGGCGAGGCGAGAGAGAGACGCGAGAAGGUGCUUCUAUAGUCACGACUAUACUCCCGUGACUAUAACGUCUUGAACGGAACGUGACCGCGUGGUAAUCGCUCCUGUCUCGCUUUGCCGCGACAAACGAACGACUAUAAAACGGCAAUAAAACCGAACGGGGGUGAGACUCGAGCACGAGAAAAAGGGGAAAAAGGGAGAGAAAGGUCCAGCCCAGGUCGAGAGAGGCAGUUUGCUUUGACAUUGCCUAAUCAAAACAGGGACUCCUUUUCCCGUUUCUUUGUUCGUGCCCCGACUAAAUCGAAGAAUAAAAAGACUCUUUGGUUUCACGAUUUACCACUUUUUGAUAACCAAUUCGUUUGCGUUGAGAGAUCGAGAUGCAAAUACAUUUCAUCCACUAUUGCCUGCUGUUAUAUAUAUAAACAAAAAUGACUUAAAUAGAAAAUAUGAUUCGCUUAUUAUAUGAAAAUAUAAUAUCGAAUAUCACAUAUAUAUUAAAAAUGUAUAUA